Long non-coding RNA from Trachymyrmex septentrionalis, 543 nucleotides. RefSeq lists it as uncharacterized. The transcript is spliced from 3 exons. NCBI's taxonomy places the organism in Eukaryota, Metazoa, Arthropoda, Insecta, Hymenoptera, Formicidae. The record is from RefSeq and is a predicted model, not a curated record.
AUAAUUCUAAAGGUAAUUAAGUCUCCAGAUAAAUACGGAGUCAAUAUGAUCAGAACAUGAAUAUCGUAUAUAUAGUAUACAGAAAGGCGAAAAUGCAAAUCAAAAUUAAAAUAAGUAUAUAAAACACAAUCGGCAAUGUUCCUAGAGCCUCACAGAGAGAGAGUAGCAAAUUGCAUCACGUGACCCGGUCUCCUCUGAUUGGAUUUGGUAAUCAAGCUUCAUAGAGCCAUAAUGCCGUUUAGAUAACUGCAAAAACAGUAUGCUUAUCACCUUUAUGCUGCUUUUCUUUUCAAUUUUACAAUUGAUAAGGUCUUUAUAUCAAAACAGGAUUUGUGCAUAUUAUAAAGUGUCAGCCAGGUGCAGUUCUCCAAGAUGCAUAAACUCUAAUAAAAAAGUAUAUUGCUGCACAACAUUUGCCCAAGAUGCAAACUCGAGACAAAAAAUGGAUUGAUGCUGCCGAAAUUCCUGAUUGGAAACCUUCAGAAUCAGCUUUACUGUGUGAGAUUGGUACCAAAGCGUGUAUACAAAUGUUUUAUAAUGUAA